Molecule: ribosomal RNA, 305 nt
Filed under: uncultured bacterium
Lineage: Bacteria
Description: bacterial SSU rRNA
Rfam family: Bacterial small subunit ribosomal RNA
Source: RNAcentral
CCCCUACGGGGCGCAGCAGUGGGGAAUAUUGGACAAUGGGGGGAACCCUGAUCCAGCGACGCCGCGUGAGUGAAGAAGUAUUUCGGUAUGUAAAGCUCUAUCAGCAGGGAAGAAAGAAAUGUCGGUACCUGACUAAGAAGCCCCGGCUAACUACGUGCCAGCAGCCGCGGUAAUACGUAGGGGGCAAGCGUUAUCCGGAUUUACUGGGUGUAAAGGGAGCGUAGACGGCGAUGCAAGUCUGAAGUGAAAGGCGGGGGCCCAACCCCCGGACUGCUUUGGAAACUGGGCGGCUGGAGUGCGGGAGG